GCACUAUUAGCUGCGUCCCAAAAUUUUUGUCUUAAAUUUAUUUAAGUAUGGAUGUAUCUGACACUAAAACUGACUAGAUACAUCUUGUAUUAGAUAAAUCUAAGACAAGAAUUUUAAGACGGAGGGAGUAUUUU
This is a non-coding RNA of Hordeum vulgare subsp. vulgare (domesticated barley), 134 nucleotides long. The record is from Rfam. NCBI's taxonomy places the organism in Eukaryota, Viridiplantae, Streptophyta, Magnoliopsida, Poales, Poaceae.